RNAcentral lists this ribosomal RNA (253 nucleotides) under uncultured bacterium. RNAcentral describes it as "partial 16S ribosomal RNA". It matches the Rfam family "Bacterial small subunit ribosomal RNA", at positions 524 to 776 of the family's 1533-position model. The record is from RNAcentral.
UACGUAGGGGGCAAGCGUUAUCCGGAUUUACUGGGUGUAAAGGGAGCGUAGACGGCAUGGCAAGCCAGAUGUGAAAUACCGGGGCUCAACCCCGGGACUGCAUUUGGAACUGUUAAGCUGGAGUGUCGGAGAGGCAGGCGGAAUUCCUAGUGUAGCGGUGAAAUGCAUAGAUAUCACGCAGAACUCCGAUUGCGAAGGCAGCAUACCGGCGCCCUACUGACGCUGAGGCACGAAAGCGUGGGUAUCGAACAGG